RNAcentral lists this ribosomal RNA (301 nucleotides) under uncultured bacterium. Its description in RNAcentral is "partial 16S ribosomal RNA". It matches the Rfam family "Bacterial small subunit ribosomal RNA", at positions 509 to 807 of the family's 1533-position model. The record is from RNAcentral.
CAGCAGCCACGGUAAUACGGAGGGUGCGAGCGUUAAUCGGAAUAACUGGGCGUAAAGGGCACGCAGGCGGUUAUUUAAGUGAGGUGUGAAAGCCCCGGGCUUAACCUGGGAAUUGCAUUUCAGACUGGGUGACUAGAGUACUUUAGGGAGGGGUAGAAUUCCACGUGUAGCGGUGAAAUGCGUAGAGAUGUGGAGGAAUACCGAAGGCGAAGGCAGCCCCUUGGGAAUGUACUGACGCUCAUGUGCGAAAGCGUGGGGAGCAAACAGGAUUAGAUACCCCUGUAGUCCCUGUCUCUUAUAC